ACUAAACGUAAAACGCAAUUUCUGUAACCAUAUUUUCUUUGAGGAAUUUUGCAGCUGCUGGUAAAAUUGGGGCAAAGUGUUCACGGUAAGCAAAUCGUUCAUCGAUCUCUGAUUAAGCUAGUAAACUCUAUUUGUUCAUUUCAGAACUUGGCCACCAACCGUACCGUAUCCUUCCGGCAUAAAAAACUACUUUGCCAACGAACCGCAGUUUCUAAAUCGAUUUGCUUAGUGGUUUUGUUCCGGAGAUAAUAAGCAACAGCAAAACUUGAUGGAGAACUCCGCUUUUGGCAUCGGAAAUGCAACUUCGAAAAGCUUUUCAUCGUUUAAAAUCCGCUGCCAAUCAUCAAAAUGGAAAUGAACUAGCGCAUGCUUCACCAAGAGGAUUCCAGAUAAACCUCCUACCAUCGAACAGCAGAACAUCCCAUUCGAUACAGUGGACCUUCCGAUGAAAGUUCCGGAUAGACUAUCAUUUCUCCAACUUAGUACCCGUCUGUAUAAUUUUCCGGACAACGUCACCCACUUCCACUAGGCAUCCUCCAGAAACAUCAUCCGGACCGAAAAACUACGCUGGGAGCGAGUACUUUAAAUAGCUCCGCUGAUGAUGACCAAGAAAACACUGCCCCAACGUCCCCCGGAAAAUUGUUGUUUAAGUAUUUAUUCUCGUGUUUAUUAUAUUUAUGAUAAGUUUUAUUUGGUUAAAAAUUAAUAAACUUGAUUUUUUUUAUUCAUCUACAGUUUAUUUUUAAACGUAAACAAAAAUGAAUGACACUACUGCUGAACUACGCGCAUAGUUAAUUGAACCAUAUUACGAUAGUCAAACUUACCAUGCCGCUUGUCACACGCAUGGUAAAAUGAACUAUGAAAACAGACUUGAAAAUACCAUAAAAUGUAAAUAAAAAAUGACAUGGUAAAUUGAACCCUGCACAUGGUAGUUUCAAAAAUAAAACAUGGUCUACCAAAAUCAA
Molecule: long non-coding RNA, 965 nt
Organism: Aedes albopictus (Asian tiger mosquito)
Lineage: Eukaryota; Metazoa; Arthropoda; Insecta; Diptera; Culicidae
Exons: 2
Source: RefSeq, a predicted model, not a curated record